RNAcentral lists this ribosomal RNA (442 nucleotides) under Alloprevotella sp. oral taxon 473. RNAcentral's name for it is "bacterial SSU rRNA". It matches the Rfam family "Bacterial small subunit ribosomal RNA", at positions 28 to 460 of the family's 1533-position model. The record is from RNAcentral. Lineage: Bacteria; Pseudomonadati; Bacteroidota; Bacteroidia; Bacteroidales; Prevotellaceae.
GAUGAACGCUAGCUACAGGCUUAACACAUGCAAGUCGAGGGGCAGCAUGGAAGAAGCUUGCUUCUUCUGAUGGCGACCGGCGCACGGGUGCGUAACGCGUAUCAAACCUGCCUCAUACUCGGGGAUAGCCUUGCGAAAGUAAGAUUAAUACCCGAUGUUGUUAUGUUACCGCAUGGUGAUAUAACCAAAGAUUUAUCGGUAUGAGAUGGUGAUGCGUCCGAUUAGGUAGUAGGCGGGGUAACGGCCCACCUAGCCUUCGAUCGGUAGGGGUUCUGAGAGGAAGGUCCCCCACACUGGAACUGAGACACGGUCCAGACUCCUACGGGAGGCAGCAGUGAGGAAUAUUGGUCAAUGGACGCAAGUCUGAACCAGCCAAGUAGCGUGCAGGAUGACGGCCCUCUGGGUUGUAAACUGCUUUUAGUUGGGAAUAAAAAAGAGGACG